CCUACGGGAGGCAGCAGUGGGGGAUAUUGCACAAUGGGGGGAACCCUGAUGCAGCGACGCCGCGUGGGUGAAGGAGUGCUUCGGCAUGUAAAGCCCUAUCGGCAGGGAAGAAGCAAGACGGUACCUGACUAAGAAGCCCCGGCUAACUACGUGCCAGCAGCCGCGGUAAUACGUAGGGGGCGAGCGUUAUCCGGAUUCACUGGGUGUAAAGGGAGCGUAGGCGGCCAUGCAAGCUAGGGGUGAAAGCCCGGGGCCCAACCCCGGGACUGCCCUUGGAACUGCAUGGCUAGAGUGCGGGAGGGGCAGGCGGAAUUCCUGGUGGAGCGGUGAAAUGCGUAGAUAUCAGGAGGAACACCGGCGGCGAAGGCGGCCUGCUGGACUGCGACUGACGUUGAGGCUCGAAAGCGUGGGGAGCGAACAGGAUUAGAUACCCCUGUAGUC
RNAcentral lists this ribosomal RNA (441 nucleotides) under uncultured bacterium. Its description in RNAcentral is "partial 16S ribosomal RNA". It matches the Rfam family "Bacterial small subunit ribosomal RNA", at positions 338 to 795 of the family's 1533-position model. The record is from RNAcentral.